UAGAGCCGGGUUGGGUUAAAGGAAGCUUCUAAUCAGAAUGUCUACAUUUUAAGAUUAGAUCUCAAAUCAGGUAGGACUACCCGCUGAACUUAAGCAUAUCAAUAAGCGGAGGAAAAGAAACUAACAAGGAUUCCCCUAGUAGCGGCGAGCGAAGCGGGAAGAGCUCAAAUUUAUAAUCUGGCACCUUCGGUGUCCGAGUUGUAAUCUCUAGAAAUGUUUUCCGCGUUGGACCGCACACAAGUCUGUUGGAAUACAGCGGCAUAGUGGUGAGACCCCCGUAUAUGGUGCGGACGCCCAGCGCUUUGUGAUACAUUUUCGAAGAGUCGAGUUGUUUGGGAAUGCAGCUCAAAUUGGGUGGUAAAUUCCAUCUAAAGCUAAAUAUUGGCGAGAGACCGAUAGCGAACAAGUACCGUGAGGGAAAGAUGAAAAGCACUUUGGAAAGAGAGUUAACAGUACGUGAAAUUGUUGGAAGGGAAACGCUUGAAGUCAGACUUGCUUGCCGAGCAAUCGGUUUGCAGGCCAGCAUCAGUUUUCCGGGAUGGAUAAUGGUAGAGAGAAGGUAGCAGUUUCGGCUGUGUUAUAGCUCUCUGCUGGAUACAUCUUGGGGGACUGAGGAACGCAGUGUGCCUUUGGCGGGGGUUUCGACCUCUCACACUUAG
Molecule: ribosomal RNA, 659 nt
Filed under: Rhodotorula mucilaginosa
Lineage: Eukaryota; Fungi; Basidiomycota; Microbotryomycetes; Sporidiobolales; Sporidiobolaceae
Description: eukaryotic LSU rRNA
Rfam family: Eukaryotic large subunit ribosomal RNA
Source: RNAcentral